Molecule: non-coding RNA, 113 nt
Organism: Acanthosepion pharaonis
Lineage: Eukaryota; Metazoa; Mollusca; Cephalopoda; Sepiida; Sepiidae
Source: the annotation of a GenBank genome assembly
UACGACCAUAUCCCAUUGAAACACAGGUUCUCAUACGAUCAUCAAACUUAAGCAAAGUCGACCCUGGCCAGUACCGAGAUGGAUGACUGCUUGGGAAUAUCUGGUGCUGUAAG